RNAcentral lists this small RNA (412 nucleotides) under Pan troglodytes (chimpanzee). RNAcentral describes it as "retained intron". The record is from RNAcentral. Lineage: Eukaryota; Metazoa; Chordata; Mammalia; Primates; Hominidae.
GAAUAUGUUUGAUCCCGUUAUGGAAAUAGGGGAUCAGUGGCAUUUGGCAAUUCAAGAAGCAAUUUUAGAAAAAUGCAGUGAUAAUGAUGGCAUUGUUCACAUUGCAGUAGACAAAAAUUCACGUGAGGUAAAGUAACUUUUGGUAUUGAAUUUCACGUUUUGGAUUUGUUGCUAUUAAACUAAGACUAUUUUCUUUCUUUUUUAAUAUCACAGGGUUGUGUAUAUGUUAAAUGUCUGUCUCCAGAAUAUGCUGGAAAGGCUUUUAAAGCAUUGCAUGGCUCUUGGUUUGAUGGGAAAUUGGUUACAGUAAAAUAUUUACGACUAGAUAGAUACCACCAUCGCUUUCCCCAGGCUCUCACUUCCAACACUCCAUUGAAGCCAUCAAAUAAACAUAUGAACUCUAUGUCUCAUC